AGAGCGAACGCUGGCGGCAGGCCUAACACAUGCAAGUCGAACGCCCAGCAAUGGGAGUGGCAGACGGGAUAGUAACACGUGGGAACGCGCCCUUCGGUUCGGAAUAACUCAGGGAAACUUGAGCUAAUACCGGAUACGCCCUUACGGGGAAAGAUUUAUUGCCGAAGGAACGGCCCGCGUCGGAUUAGCUAGUUGGUGAGGUAAUGGCUCACCAAGGCGACGAUCCGUAGCUGGUCUGAGAGGAUGACCAGCAUCACUGGGACUGAGACACGGCCCAGACUCCUACGGGAGGCAGCAGUGGGGAAUAUUGGACAAUGGGCGCAAGCCUGAUCCAGCCAUGCCGCGUGGAUGAUGAAGGCCUUAGGGUUGUAAAGUCCUUUUAACGGGGAAGAUAAUGACGGUACCCGUAGAAUAAGCCCCGGCUAACUUCGUGCCAGCAGCCGC
This 444-nucleotide ribosomal RNA is filed under the name uncultured bacterium. RNAcentral's name for it is "SSU rRNA". It matches the Rfam family "Bacterial small subunit ribosomal RNA", at positions 26 to 518 of the family's 1533-position model. The record is from RNAcentral.